UCAUGUGCCCCAUGUCUCCAAUAAAAUUGAAACAAUACAGUGAAGAUUGACAUAACCCCGCACAAGGAUAACACACAAAUAGAAUGACUAGUCAUGUUG
Molecule: non-coding RNA, 99 nt
Organism: Capsicum annuum
Lineage: Eukaryota; Viridiplantae; Streptophyta; Magnoliopsida; Solanales; Solanaceae
Source: Rfam